Molecule: ribosomal RNA, 112 nt
Filed under: Vibrio sp. SG41-7
Lineage: Bacteria; Pseudomonadati; Pseudomonadota; Gammaproteobacteria; Vibrionales; Vibrionaceae
Description: partial 23S ribosomal RNA
Rfam family: Bacterial large subunit ribosomal RNA
Source: RNAcentral
GUUGUAUGGUUAAGUGACUAAGCGUACACGGUGGAUGCCUUGGCAGUCAGAGGCGAUGAAAGGCGUAAUAACUUGCGAUAAGCCCAGAUUAGGUAGUAAUAACCUUUUGAGU